AAGGGAAAUGCCACAGACAUCCAUGGUCUUGGAUGCUCAACAGAAGUGCUUGCCUUGGUGAUCCAAAAAAGGCAGGAUCCGGCCGGGGGCAAGGUGAUUAUUCUGUCUGAUGAGGAGAAUAAGAGCCAGUUUGUGGUAUUGACAGAAGAAUGAAAGUAAAGUUCAACCAAUCUACAAAGGCCAAAAAUAUUUUCACAGGCCCCCAAAAGAUGAACUCCAAUCUGCUGCCCCUAAACGCAUUCUCCACUGUCUGGAAGAUGUGCAAAGGCAACGGCACAGCGUUCUCCAUCUCAAAUCCUUCAAAGUGCUGUCAGAAUAAAAGAAUCCCCACCAAAAGCCCCAGGGAAAUCUAUCUGUCUGUAUGGUAUGGUAAUGACUGAGGUUAUUCCAGAUAGGAUUCUGGGAGAAACUCAGCUAUUGAAAUCUAAUGAAUGGAACUGAGAAUUUCUUGUUAUAAUACUGUUUGUUUGAUUGAAUAUAUCCUUGCAUAUAGGAAGACAUAAAAAUAAAUAAUAAAAGCAAGAUAUUAUUUGAAUUUUUGUUUGAUUAUAUAAUCUGAGAAUUUUUCUGGUAAGUAAUUUUGCAUCUGGAUUUAUUUUUUCUGCCAGUCACUUGCCUU
Molecule: long non-coding RNA, 619 nt
Filed under: Homo sapiens (human)
Lineage: Eukaryota; Metazoa; Chordata; Mammalia; Primates; Hominidae
Description: HSALNT0336953
Source: RNAcentral